This 421-nucleotide ribosomal RNA is filed under the name uncultured bacterium. RNAcentral's name for it is "bacterial SSU rRNA". It matches the Rfam family "Bacterial small subunit ribosomal RNA", at positions 355 to 774 of the family's 1533-position model. The record is from RNAcentral.
UAAGGAAUAUUGGUCAAUGGACGCAAGUCUGAACCAGCCAUGCCGCGUGAAGGAUGAAGGUCCUCUGGAUUGUAAACUUCUUUUAUCUGGGACGAAAACGGGAUUUUUAUCUCACUUGACGGUACCAGAGGAAUAAGCACCGGCUAACUCCGUGCCCGCAGCCGCGGUAAUACGGAGGGUGCGAGCGUUAUCCGGAUUUAAUGGGUUUAAAGGGUGCGUAGGUGGGCUUAUAAGUGAGUGGUGAAAUCUCCGAGCUUAACUUGGAAACUGCCGUUGNUACUAUAGGUCUUGAAUUAUCUGGAGGUAAGCGGAAUAUGUCAUGUAGCGGUGAAAUGCUUAGAUAUGACAUAGAACACCAAUUGCGAAGGCAGCUUACUACAUAUAAAUUGACGCUGAGGCACGAAAGCGUGGGGAUCAGACA